CCCAAGGGUAUGGCUGUUCGCCAUUUAAAGUGGUACGCGAGCUGGGUUUAGAACGUCGUGAGACAGUUCGGUCCCUAUCUGCCGUGGGCGCUGGAGAAUUGAGGGGGGCUGCUCCUAGUACGAGAGGACCGGAGUGGACGCAUCACUGGUGUUCGGGUUGUCAUGCCAAUGGCACUGCCCGGUAGCUAAAUGCGGAAGAGAUAAGUGCUGAAAGCAUCUAAGCACGAAACUUGCCCCGAGAUGAGUUCUCCCUGAGACUUUAAGUCUCCUGAAGGAACGUUAAAGACGAUGACGUUGAUAGGCCGGGUGUGUAAGCGCAGCGAUGCGUUGAGCUAACCGGUACUAAUGAACCGUGAGGCUUAACCUUACAACGCCGAAG
Molecule: ribosomal RNA, 379 nt
Filed under: Klebsiella pneumoniae
Lineage: Bacteria; Pseudomonadati; Pseudomonadota; Gammaproteobacteria; Enterobacterales; Enterobacteriaceae
Description: partial 23S ribosomal RNA
Rfam family: Bacterial large subunit ribosomal RNA
Source: RNAcentral